CUCUCAUAUGGAGCUGUCAUAUCGCUUCGGUCAAAAUAGGACAAAUCAUGCGAAGGAUAUAACGAGCAAUUUUGUAAAAUAAAUUUGUCAUAAUCUUUUACGGUUGCGAAGGAGAUGCCGCUUACAAGGAAAACAGUGUUUGGAGAGAUAACUCCUACAAAGAAAAGUAUUUGUUUACGCAGGGUAAAUUUCAAAAGCGCAUAAACUGUUCGAUAUCAUAUACAAAAUAUCUAAGCGACAUAUUGCGAAACAAAUGUUUAUCGCAAGAACAAAAUUAGGCGAAGAAAAAAAAGAAAAAAAAAAAUAAUCAGAAGAAAAACAAUAGGUCUUUCCACAGAAAAGUGGAAAGACCUAAUAACAAA
RNAcentral lists this long non-coding RNA (362 nucleotides) under Mytilus galloprovincialis (Mediterranean mussel). Lineage: Eukaryota; Metazoa; Mollusca; Bivalvia; Mytilida; Mytilidae. The record is from RNAcentral.